Molecule: non-coding RNA, 216 nt
Organism: Zea mays
Lineage: Eukaryota; Viridiplantae; Streptophyta; Magnoliopsida; Poales; Poaceae
Source: Rfam
UUUGAGGGGAAUGUUGUCUGGCUCGGGGCCGCCGCCGCCGCUCCUUCCUUCUCUAGUCUCUCUUCUCUCCUAGCAGCUACUCUUCGCUUCCUACUCCUAUCUCGAUCCCUCUCUUCUUCUUCUUCUUCUUCUUCCUCUUCCCCCCUCUCUUGGAUCGAGACCGAGCGGACGGAGACGAGUGGUGUAGAUCUCGGACCAGGCUUCAUUCCCCCCAAA